Molecule: long non-coding RNA, 1507 nt
Filed under: Triticum aestivum (bread wheat)
Lineage: Eukaryota; Viridiplantae; Streptophyta; Magnoliopsida; Poales; Poaceae
Description: long non-coding RNA (TAES_LNC022432)
Source: RNAcentral
UUUAAUUCAAGACAUGUAUAUACCGAAUUAUUGUCAUUUUAUUUUUAAGGGCUUUGAGUGAAAGGUUGCAGAUUAGACUUUUCAAGUACAUUUACCUGCAAGCCGAGCACAAGAAAAAACAAAAAAUAUUUCAAUUAAGUGAUGUUAGUAGGUUUACCAAAUUAUAGAUCUAAGAAGCUUGCAAUAACUAAUAAUUGAAUGUGAGAAUGAAAAAUAAUCCUAUGGCAUCCAUACUACUUAUCACUACUACUAAUUCAUGUAAAGAUCAUGAAUUGUUGACGAAACCACAAAGAGGCAGCCAACCAUACUAUUUAUCACUAAUACUAAUUGUUGUAAACAUCAAGAAUUGUUAUCCAUGUAAUCUUCCGUCGUAAGCUUAUUAGCUGGACCAUUAUAAUGAGCAAUUGCUGGGGACCUCUCUCUCUCUCUCUUGGAUUGAGGUACAAAAUCAACUAACCUGACACAAAAAAAGUUAAAUAUCAUUAGUACAUCAAUCUUAGUGUUGAUCUUACUAUUCAGGACGGAGGUCCAAAGUAAACAAGUAUGCAAUAAAAAAAUAACAUGUCCAUCAGUACACCGAUUGUUUCAACUCCAUUCUCAUGAGAUGCCUCAUUGUUAGUUGCACAUAUUAAUUUAGUUUUAGUCACAGGUCAGAUGGGAGAGAACCAAGGGCGUGAAUAUUUGGAAAUAGACAUAUUGGGUGAAAGAAGAGUGGGCCUGAAUACGCAAGAGGCUAUGGCCAUUGACUCUAAGGGACAAGUGCAUAAGUCCAGUCGCUCAAGUUUUCGAGAAAAGAUCAGCUAGAUGAAGAGGAAGUUGCUCUAUGUACAAAAUCCUUUGGAGCAUCUGCCCAUCUCCUCUGGGAUCCUCUCUCAGGUGGUGACUCGGGCAGUACGGCCGCGCGCCUACCAGUCUCCAAAUAUGCUCAAAUCAAUUGACCAUCGCCAACAACAUUACCUGUAUGUACAAAUUGGAUUGGGAGUAUGUCAGGACACAGAAAUUGUUUUGUGGAAAAAGGAAUCGUACAUGAAAAUGAAAGAAAUAUAGGGGGACCUGGUGUAUUGUUGUUCCCAUACACAUGUCCUCUUGUACAGUGCCCUCCAUCACCUCCAGCCUGAAUUAUGCAGUUGCUGGAGCACCAUCGAGAAGAACAGGUUGCCCUACAAGAAGAAGAGAGGAGGAUUAAAUUAGAAUAGGUUAAAUUAGAAUACGCGUUGAUCCACCGUCGCCGGCUAGGAGCAGGAUGAGACGUCAUCCGCUACCGCCGCCGUUUCCGCCAGAGCUAUGGAUGUUCAUAUGUGUUCCAAAGGCCAGUGGCCCAUGCCGCACACUCGCACUGCCCAGCACCACCUCGCGCGGAUUCCAUUGCCGCAACCUCAGCGGAGGCGUCGCCGGCUCGUUGCCGCUGCCGCCUUCAGGACCUGAGAGAGAAGGGGAGGGAAGAUGAGCGAACUGACCUGGAGGUAGCCGCUCGAGCGCCGGAUCCCCUCAGACGCCUCGCCUUGGC